GUAGGUGGCAAGCGUUGUCCGGAAUUAUUGGGCGUAAAGCGCGCGCAGGUGGUUCUUUAAGUCUGAUGUGAAAGCCCCCCGGGCUCAACCGGGGAGGGUCAUUGGAAACUGGGGAACUUGAGUGCAGGAGAGGAAAGUGGAAUUCCACGUGUAGCGGUGAAAUGCGUAGAUAUGUGGAGGAACACCAGUGGCGAAGGCGACUUUCUGGCCUGUAACUGACACUGAGGCGCGAAAGCGCGGGGAGCAAACAGGAUUAGAUACCCUGGUAGUCCACGCCGUAAACGAUGAGUGCUAAGUGUUGGGGGGUUUCCGCCCCUCAGUGCUGCAGCUAACGCAUUAAGCACUCCGCCUGGGGAGUACGGUCGCAAAGACUG
Molecule: ribosomal RNA, 374 nt
Filed under: uncultured organism
Description: partial 16S ribosomal RNA
Rfam family: Bacterial small subunit ribosomal RNA
Source: RNAcentral